UACGUAUGGUGCAAGCGUUAUCCGGAUUUACUGGGCGUAAAGGGAGCGCAGGCGGCGCGCCAAGUCUGAUGUGAAACCCCGGGGCUCAACCCCGGGCAUGCAUUGGAAACUGGCGGGCUGGAGUGCCGGAGAGGUAAGCGGAAUUCCUAGUGUAGCGGUGGAAUGCGUAGAUAUUAGGAGGAACAUCAGUGGCGAAGGCGACUUUCUGGACUGUAACUGACGCUGAGGCACGAAAGUGUGGGGAGCAAACAGG
RNAcentral lists this ribosomal RNA (253 nucleotides) under uncultured bacterium. RNAcentral describes it as "partial 16S ribosomal RNA". It matches the Rfam family "Bacterial small subunit ribosomal RNA", at positions 524 to 776 of the family's 1533-position model. The record is from RNAcentral.